This 275-nucleotide ribosomal RNA is filed under the name uncultured bacterium. RNAcentral's name for it is "partial 16S ribosomal RNA". It matches the Rfam family "Bacterial small subunit ribosomal RNA", at positions 338 to 627 of the family's 1533-position model. The record is from RNAcentral.
CCUACGGGGGGCUGCAGUGGGGAAUUUUCCGCAAUGGGCGAAAGCCUGACGGAGCAAUACCGCGUGAGGGAGGAAGGCUCUUGGGUUGUAAACCUCUUUUCUCAGGGAAGAAACAAAUGACGGUACCUGAGGAAUCAGCAUCGGCUAACUCCGUGCCAGCAGCCGCGGUAAUACGGAGGAUGCAAGCGUUAUCCGGAAUAAUUGGGCGUAAAGCGUUCGCAGGUGGCAAUUCAAGUCUGCUGUCAAAGGUCAGGGCUCAACCCUGAACAGGCAGU